AGAACGAACGCUGGCGGCAGGCCUAACACAUGCAAGUCGAACGCGUGUAGCAAUACACGAGUGGCGCACGGGUGAGUAACGCGUGGAUAUCUGCCUUUGGUUCGGAAUAACCCCGGGAAACUGGGGCUAAUACCGGAUGGUUCCUUCGGGAUAAAGAUUUAUCGCCAAAAGAUGAGUCCGCGUACGAUUAGCUAGUUGGUGAGGUAAUGGCUCACCAAGGCGACGAUCGUUAGCUGGUCUGAGAGGACGAUCAGCCACACUGGGACUGAGACACGGCCCAGACUCCUACGGGAGGCAGCAGUGGGGAAUAUUGGACAAUGGGGGCAACCCUGAUCCAGCCAUGCCGCGUGAGUGAUGAAGGCCUUCGGGUUGUAAAGCUCUUUUGGCGGGACGAUGAUGACGGUACCGCAGAAUAAGCCCCGGCUAACUUCGUGCCAGCAGCCGC
Molecule: ribosomal RNA, 445 nt
Filed under: uncultured bacterium
Lineage: Bacteria
Description: SSU rRNA
Rfam family: Bacterial small subunit ribosomal RNA
Source: RNAcentral